AAAAACAUCGCCUCUUGCAUAACCACAGUAUAAGAGGUCCCGCCUGCCCAGUGACGACUUAGUUCAACGGCCGCGGUAUUUUGACCGUGCAAAGGUAGCGUAAUCACUUGUCUUUUAAAUGAAGACCUGUAUGAAUGGCAUAACGAGGGCUUAACUGUCUCCUUCCCCCGGUCAAUGAAAUUGAUCUCCCCGUGCAGAAGCGGGGAUAAAACCAUAAGACGAGAAGACCCUAUGGAGCUUUAGACACACAGGUGGCCCAUGUCAAAUAACCCCCGCUAAGGGCCUGAACUAAGUGGAACCUGCCUUGAUGUCUUCGGUUGGGGCGACCAUGGGGAAUACAAAACCCCCACGUGGAAGGGGAGCACACCCCUAAGUUACUUCUUCUCCCGCAAGCCAGAGCAACGGCUCUAACCAGCAGAAAUUCUGACCAAACUGAUCCGGUAAUACCGAUCAACGAACCAAGUUACCCUAGGGAUAACAGCGCAAUCCCCUUUUAGAGCCCAUAUCGACAAGGGGGUUUACGACCUCGAUGUUGGAUCAGGACAUCCUAAUGGUGCAGCCGCUAUUAAGGGUUCGUUUGUUCAACGAUUAAAGUCCUACGUGAUCUGAUU
Molecule: ribosomal RNA, 611 nt
Filed under: Hippoglossoides elassodon (flathead sole)
Lineage: Eukaryota; Metazoa; Chordata; Actinopteri; Pleuronectiformes; Pleuronectidae
Description: partial 16S ribosomal RNA
Rfam family: Bacterial large subunit ribosomal RNA
Source: RNAcentral